RNAcentral lists this ribosomal RNA (425 nucleotides) under uncultured bacterium. Its description in RNAcentral is "bacterial SSU rRNA". It matches the Rfam family "Bacterial small subunit ribosomal RNA", at positions 359 to 775 of the family's 1533-position model. The record is from RNAcentral.
GAAUAUUGGACAAUGGGGGGAACCCUGAUCCAGCCAUGCCGCGUGUGUGAAGAAGGCCUUUUGGUUGUAAAGCACUUUAAGCGAGGAGGAGGCUACUCUAGUUAAUACCUAGGGAUAGUGGACGUUACUCGCAGAAUAAGCACCGGCUACAUCUGGUCCAGCAGCCGCGGUAAUACAGAGGGUGCAAGCGUUAAUCGGAUUUACUGGGCGUAAAGCGCGCGUAGGUGGCCAAUUAAGUCAAAUGUGAAAUCCCCGAGCUUAACUUGGGAAUUGCACUCGAUGCUGGUUGGCUAGAGUAUGGGAGAGGAUGGUAGAAUUCCAGGUGUAGCGGUGAAAUGCGUAGAGAUCUGGAGGAAUACCGAUGGCGAAGGCAGCCAUCUGGCCUAAUACUGACACUGAGGUGCGAAAGCAUGGGGAGCAAACAG